GGCCAUACCCGCAGCGUAUGGAGGUUCCCAAGCGAGGAGUCCAAUUGGAGCUACAGCUGCUGGCCUACACCACAGCCACAGCAACACAGGAUCUGAGCCACCUCUGCGACCUACACCACAGCUCAUGGCAGUGCCAGAUCCUUAACCCACUGAGCAAGGCCAGGAAUCGAACCCGAAACCUCAUGGUUCCUAGUUGGUUUCAUGCCCGAAACCUCAUGGUUCCUAGUAGGAUUCAUUUCCGCUGCACUACAAUGGGAACUCCAGACUCACAUAUUUUGAAACCAAACUCAUGGUUACCAAAGGGAAAACAUUGAGGAGAGGGAUACAAUGGAAAGUUGGGAUUGACCUAUAUACACUAUGCAGGAAAUGGAUGAGUAACAAGGUCCUACUUAUAACACAGGGAAAUCUACUCAAUACCCUGGAAUGGAAUGGAUAUAUGUAUAUGUAUAACUGAUUCACAUUGCUGUACACCUGAAACUAACACAACAUUGUAAAUCAACUCCAUUCCAGUAAAAUGUAAUUUAAAAAAUAAGGCAUAGGAGACUGGAAAAAUGACCACAGAUUCUUUCCAUCUCUGCACGGAUGUCCUUAACAUCAAGAGGUGGGGCAUUUCUAGGCUUGGUCAUGUGACUUCUUUGGCCGAUGUGACAAUAGUAACUGUGACGUAAGCAGAGACUUGCAAAGCACUUGCACCUUGGGACUUGCAUUCUCUUUCUGUGCUUGGACCCCUGAGAUGACCAUGUGAAUAAGCCCAGCCUAGCCUGCUGGAGGAUGAGAUUCAUGUGGCCCAAUUACUUCUCCAACCCUUGCUGACAGCCUGCCAACUACCACCAUGAGUGUGAAGUAUCCCUAGACCUUUCAGCCAUCCGCCAACCCAUUAACUAAACAUAGUCACAUGAGAAAGCCUAGCAGAGAUCUGCUAUAUCAACCCAGACCAAAAAAAAAAAAAAACCACCUGGCAGACCCACCUAAUCAUGAGCUAAAUAAAAUAAUUGUUAUUUUAAACAAUUAAUUUGGGGGAUGCUUUUUUACGCAGCAAAAGCUAACCAAUUCAGAAAAGACAUUCAUUGAGCAUCUCUCUAUGAAAAGUACUGCAUAAGACCUUUUCUGUAAAUUUCCUUAUUACAUAAUUACUGUGACUCCAUGAAGUAGAUAAUAAUGUUCCCCACUUUAUGCUGAGGAAACUGAAGCUCAGAGAAUUUAACCCAUUGGUCAGUUCAGAGAUGCAGUGGAGCUAGGAAUAAACUCUGAAGCUAAUAUGGACUUAACCUGCUAAGGGGGUACCUGCCAAGGGAAGGGUUUGUAGAGCAGGAGUGAAUUCUGACCUUCAAGGGCUCAGAAUUCUUGGUCUGCAAGGCUGUUUGCCUUGAUGCUUUACUCCUGGAGAGCUGUAUGCUGCAUGGGGAAAGGAGUAUGCUGAGUCCAGAAACCCUUAAAGAAGAUGGGGUCAUGAUGAAAGGUAUACAGAGAAGGGGUCAAGGCAGUGCUUUACAACUGAAAUGCCUCAUAAGACCAGCUUAUGCGAGCCCUGUUUCUAAAUGAUCAAUUCCAAUCUCAUUAUGACCGCAGCUGCCAUUAACUCAGGAGCUAAUUGCUAUUAGCUUGUAGAAACUCAGGAGGGUUUAGCUGCAAAAAUUCCAUGACAUGGGGCCAUCUUACUGCUUAAAUGGCCACAUUUCUGUUAUUAAUUCCAUUUGACUAUUAGCUUAUUACUGUUAAGUUAUUAUAACUUUGUAUGAAGUCCUUGAACUGGAUGCAUGUCCUCCAUGCACAUUUCAUUACAGGGAGAAGCGUGAACCCAAAGGUUCAGUAUUUUAAUUUUCAUUUUUCUUUAAGGUAUAGACUUAUUAAGAAGCAUCAGGAAGGUCCGUGGUUUGGAAGAUGGCUCCAUAAACGAAGGCCAUAACAAAAACCAGAUUUUGCUCCACAUUUUUAGGCAAUUAAGGUCUUGGCAAGUGUAGAACGCGUCUGGGCAACAACAAAGUUUAGCACUGGAAGGGCCCUUGGAGCCUCUAGUCCGUUCUCAUGUUACAGUUGGGGAAACUGAGGACAGAAGAUGGGGCAGGAUUCGGGUAAGACAAAAUGCCAUGUGUGCCUCAGGCAGAUGACAUUAUCUGAAAUAGCCAGGUCCAGGUUAUAGAUAAAUCAAAAGUCUGCUGAGGAUGCCAAAUAAGCAAGAUUGCCAGUGCUAGACAAUUACAGCCGGUUCCUCAUAUUCCCUGCGAAAGAUACCUACGUGCUAAGAAACGGGCCAAGACGCAAUCAUUUACUCCUUUUCAGUGCAGAGCCAGCUGGAUGGAGAGCUACAUGACAGUGUGUGAAAUUAGACAUAUUUAACGGGUGACGACAAGGUUCUUUCUGUCUACGUUCAGAAGCCUCCCUUAACGAGCUCCAGUCGGUUUGUUAAGAAAAUAAGAGUGUGUGCAAUUACCAAGUUCACCGUUUGUUUUUGUUUAACUUUGUAGCUUCUUCCCAGGAUGCAUUGGGAAAUGUCUGGAAAAAUGUCAGCACUUGUUGCUAAGCAGAGCCUGGCGCUGGGAGGUGUUCUCUUAGUGCUCUCUGGAGUCCCUCUCUGGCCAGGUCUAGGGAAGCUGCUGGAGGUGUGGGGGCGGCGGGGGGGGGUAGUGCUUAGGGAGACAGUGUUCUGACUGAUGAACCAGCUGUUGCCAACCCGCUGUAUGACUGGGAGUGUUGUGGUCCCUCUCAGAGCCUCAGUUUUCUCAUUUGUACAUCUGAAGAAGAGGAGCUGGGGAGCCUUCAGUCCUUUCCUCUCCCAGAUGUCUAUUUUAAAUCUCUUUUAUUGGAUUUUUGCUCUUAAAAGCAUGGAGGAGGGAGGUGAUAGGAUGGAGCAAAGGAAAUUGGCAGCUUGAAUGCAGGGUUUUCUCUGAGGUCAGGGUUUCUGAAAGGAUCCUAAUUAAAGCCAAGUGAGCUCUUUUGAGUAAAGAUCUCCGUAGAGUUGCUUGUUGACCUUGGGAGGUAGGGACAACUGAAUGACAGAGAAAGGGAAAGGAGAGAAAAGAGAGCAGAGAGGGGAAAAAAAGAGUCAGAAAAGGGCACAGAAGCACAAAGGAAAAGGGAGAGGAAGGAAAGGAGACGGAAUGGAGGCAAUGAGGAGGAGGAGACAGGCAGACUCAGGACAAGAGGAGAGAUUUAAAGCAAGGAGACAAGAUGGUGAAAAUUAGAAGGGAGGAGACGAGAGCGAAGGAAAAUAAAAAGUCAGGAGAGACCCCGAUGAUGGGGUAAUGGACGUGUACACAUCUAUUGGUUACUUUUUAGAGCAUACGGAAUAGAAACAGGGCUCCCUUGCAGCAUGGUUGGGAGGGUGAAAUGGGAGAAGGUAUGCGAAAGCAGGAAGCUUUUUUUUUUUUUUUUUUAAGUAAACACCUGGACAAGGUUUUGACAUGCUGCACAUGCAGUAAUAGGCAAUUUUUGUCCAGGCAUUGUGAAAUGUAGCACAGGAUUGCCUGCUCACGGUCAACCUUUCCUCAAAACUGUGAUACUUCAACUGUUGUGCCUGUUUCCACUCUCAGAUGGUAACUGACAUUAUAAGUCAAUAGCUUUAUGGAAUCCCUGCAAAUCCCUUCCCUCUUCCUGCCACCCUGGAGAGACACAGUUGUGUUUUACCUAGAAACAAAGCAGCUGCACCCCAGGGUAGACAUGUGAAGAGAGAGGGAGAUAAUCUCUCUCUGAGCCCUUUUUCCUGGUGACCCACCUCCUAACUGGAGCGCAAUCUGCAGCCCUCCAUGGCUUGGCUGGCUCGCGGUUCCCCAUCAGCGGCUACAGGAAGACAGGCGCUUGGGGAGGCUGGGGGAGGCAAUUUGAUGCAGCGGCUUUAUCCCUUCCAGUUCUCUUGCUUCUGGGUCAGGUAAUUUGGCCGCAAACAGCACACAAAGAUGAAACAUGUUGUUCCCUCAUUGCUCAGUGGCUCACCCCCAGGUUCCAAAGGUCUCUAAGCUAUGAAAACAAAACAAAACAAAAGAGAGCCCCUCUCAGGGCUGCCGAGUCCUUUCAACCUCUUGGUUUGCCUUGAUUUUGUCAGUUCCACCCAGAGGACAGGACCAGAUGUGAUGGUCCAAGUUGGAAAGGUAAUAUGUAGUCUGUUUUCUGAAGAAAAAAGAUGGAAGCUGAGAUGAAAUUCUGCCAGUUCUAAUAGAAGGGGUCUUCAGCACUCCAGGCCUCCCUUCCCUUGUUCUUAACCCUCUUCCAUUCAGGGUCUACCCUGUUGCCUGAGAUACAGGGAUGAUUGUAGCACUUCCCUGGUUAUAAACUAUCAAUGGCCCCUUAUUGUUUAUAAGAUGAAAUUCAAAGUCUGUAGCUCAGCGUUCAAGGCCUUUUUAAUUUGGUCUCACUCUGUUUUUUUCAGUCAGAUUCAUGACCCAUAUAAUAGAUGUCUUACCUCCACCUAACAGACCCCCUCUUUGGACUGUAAGUUUGCUAUGAGGGAGAGUCUGUGUCACUCACCUUUGCAUCUGUAGUUCUUGGUCCAUCAUGUGCUCUGUGCAAAUGUGCAGGGAAGGAAGAAGAGAAGGACUGAUUAAUACUGGGCCCCUUACUUUUCCCCAGCAGGCCAUGCUCACCAGUUCCUCUGUGGCUUCUUGCUCUUGCACUCCUAACAUUCUCUACCUACCAAAUAUGUAGACCUGUUGUUUCUAGAUCCAGAGGAAGCUGUGUGUGGGGAUACCGUCUCCACUGCAGCAAUCCGUCCAUUCGAGCUCCUGCUAUGUGUCAGGGACUGUUCUGUGUGCUGAGGAUACCGCUUUGGACAAGACAGACAACACCCCUGUCCUGGAACAGAUGUCUGGUGGAAAACAGUCAUCAAAUGAGUAUGAAUGUUAUGCUCUAUAGCAGAAGUGACUGGAGAAAAUUCAAGCAGGGAGGGGAUGACAGUGGUUCCGGUUGAUAAGAAUGACCAGGCAGGUGUCUCCAGGGAGGGAAGAUACCACGCUUUUGUGUUCCCCAUGGAGUCUGGCCCCCUGUGUCUCCUCCAAGCUUUGCCUCAUGAAUUAUCUCUUUUCUAUCUCACAGAGUCAAGCCACUGCUUCCAUGGGCGUCUUCCCCUUAACCUAAUGAACAUGCCAAUGAACAGGUCCCAUUCUGAAGAAAACAGCCCCUCUGACCUCAUGCCCCCUCUUCGGAUGGUGCUCUCUUUUCUGCCUCCUCGUAAUGGUGACAAAGAACUUGCAAUGUGGGUCUCCAUUUCCCUGUCUCCUGGGUCUGCUGUCUCCCCUGCCCUGACAUCUGCUCCCAGCCUCUAGUGCAUCCAUUCUUGGCCUCAAUCCGGUGACCCCA
This 5289-nucleotide long non-coding RNA is filed under the name Sus scrofa (pig). Its description in RNAcentral is "lncRNA (ENSSSCG00005033922.1)". The record is from RNAcentral. Lineage: Eukaryota; Metazoa; Chordata; Mammalia; Artiodactyla; Suidae.